Molecule: ribosomal RNA, 488 nt
Filed under: uncultured bacterium
Lineage: Bacteria
Description: bacterial SSU rRNA
Rfam family: Bacterial small subunit ribosomal RNA
Source: RNAcentral
GAUGAACGCUAGCGGCAGGCUUAAUACAUGCAAGUCGUGGGGCAGCAUGAGUAGCAAUACUUGAUGGCGACCGGCAAACGGGUGAGGAACACGUACACAACCUUCCUUCAAGCGGGGAAUAGCCCAGAGAAAUUUGGAUUAAUACCCCAUAAUAUAUUUGAUAAGGCAUCUUAUUAAUAUUAAAGCUUCGGCACUUGAUGAUGGGUGUGCGGCUGAUUAGAUAGUUGGCGGGUAACGGCCCACCAAGUCUACGAUCAGUAGCUGAUGUGAGAGCAUGAUCAGCCACACGGGCACUGAGACACGGGCCCGACUCCUACGGGAGGCAGCAGUAAGGAAUAUUGGACAAUGGACGAAAGUCUGAUCCAGCCAUGCCGCGUGAAGGAUUAAGGUCCUCUGGAUUGUAAACUUCUUUAUAUGGGACGAAAAAGGGCAUUCUUGUUCACUUGACGGUACCAUAUGAAUAAGCAACCGGCUAACUCCGUGCCAGC